Molecule: transfer RNA, 93 nt
Filed under: Deltaproteobacteria bacterium RBG_13_58_19
Lineage: Bacteria; Deltaproteobacteria
Description: tRNA-Ser
Rfam family: tRNA
About the family: Transfer RNA (tRNA) molecules are approximately 80 nucleotides in length. Their secondary structure includes four short double-helical elements and three loops (D, anti-codon, and T loops).
Source: RNAcentral
GGAGAGAUGACCGAGCUGGCCGAAGGUGCUCGCCUGCUAAGCGAGUGUGGGAGGAAACUUCCACCGAGGGUUCGAAUCCCUCUCUCUCCGCCA